GCCGAGAUGGUGGAAUUGGUAGACACGCGAGCUUCAGGUGCUCGUGGGGGCAACUCCGUGGAGGUUCGAGUCCUCUUCUCGGCA
This 84-nucleotide transfer RNA is filed under the name Gammaproteobacteria bacterium RIFCSPHIGHO2_12_FULL_41_15. Its description in RNAcentral is "tRNA-Leu". It matches the Rfam family "tRNA". From Rfam's summary of the family: Transfer RNA (tRNA) molecules are approximately 80 nucleotides in length. Their secondary structure includes four short double-helical elements and three loops (D, anti-codon, and T loops). The record is from RNAcentral. Lineage: Bacteria; Pseudomonadati; Pseudomonadota; Gammaproteobacteria.